GAGCGUUGGGGGCAAGCCUAACACAUGCAAGUCGAGCGGAAGAGAGGUGCUUGCACCUCUUGAGAGCGGCGGACGGGUGAGUAAUGCCUAGGAAUCUGCCUGGUAGUGGGGGAUAACGUUCGGAAACGAACGCUAAUACCGCAUACGUCCUACGGGAGAAAGCAGGGGACCUUCGGGCCUUGCGCUAUCAGAUGAGCCUAGGUCGGAUUAGCUAGUUGGUGAGGUAAUGGCUCACCAAGGCGACGAUCCGUAACUGGUCUGAGAGGAUGAUCAGUCACACUGGAACUGAGACACGGUCCAGACUCCUACGGGAGGCAGCAGUGGGGAAUAUUGGACAAUGGGCGAAAGCCUGAUCCAGCCAUGCCGCGUGUGUGAAGAAGGUCUUCGGAUUGUAAAGCACUUUAAGUUGGGAGGAAGGGUUGUAGAUUAAUACUCUGCAAUUUUGACGUUACCGACAGAAUAAGCACCGGCUAACUCUGUGCCAGCAGCCGCGGUAAUACAGAGGGUGCAAGCGUUAAUCGGAAUUACUGGGCGUAAAGCGCGCGUAGGUGGUUUGUUAAGUUGGAUGUGAAAGCCCCGGGCUCAACCUGGGAACUGCAUUCAAAACUGUCGAGCUAGAGUAUGGUAGAGGGUGGUGGAAUUUCCUGUGUAGCGGUGAAAUGCGUAGAUAUAGGAAGGAACACCAGUGGCGAAGGCGACCACCUGGACUGAUACUGACACU
This 721-nucleotide ribosomal RNA is filed under the name Pseudomonas brassicacearum. RNAcentral describes it as "bacterial SSU rRNA". It matches the Rfam family "Bacterial small subunit ribosomal RNA", at positions 31 to 747 of the family's 1533-position model. Lineage: Bacteria; Pseudomonadati; Pseudomonadota; Gammaproteobacteria; Pseudomonadales; Pseudomonadaceae. The record is from RNAcentral.